Long non-coding RNA from Gambusia affinis (western mosquitofish), 979 nucleotides. RefSeq lists it as uncharacterized. The transcript has 4 exons. Lineage: Eukaryota; Metazoa; Chordata; Actinopteri; Cyprinodontiformes; Poeciliidae. The record is from RefSeq and is a predicted model, not a curated record.
GUUUAAUCAAACACAGCUGGACUUCAAUGAAGGAGUAGCAGUAUCUCAGGGAAGAUCAGAAGAAAUGGACAGCAUACAUGCCUGGCACCACCAAGUGCAGGAAAUGCCACCAGUGUCAGGACAUUUUCCUCUCAUCACGGCCGACUUGAGGAUAAACAAAAGGCACAACUCGGUUUCCGAAAGUGAGAGACGGAGCUUCACACGGAAUGAUGAAUGAAGCACGUCGUGGUCGACUUGUCCUUGCUGGAUGGGGACUGAUGAGAAGGUCCACGUAUGUUGAGAUGGAAGAGCGGAGGAAACAUUCAGUCUGUAGAUGUGCACAGCUGAUAGAUGGUCACCUCAGGAGACUUAAAACUGCAAUUACAGACAUGUGGAUGCCUUUCUUAGAAGAAAGCAAGGUAGAGCAAAUACCUGAGAUUGGGAGUAUACAGCCAGAUCACUGAAGCAACUACUGGUACAUUGACUAUAAUCUCAGUGUUUGUCUGAUUGUGAAUGUUUAGACAAUUAACUGAAAGGAUAUGUGUCGCAAAGCAUCUGUGCAGUAAUGCGUACAACAUACGCACAUGUUUUACUGUUGUUUUUCUUUUUUUAUCAUAAAGCUCUGUGAGAAUAAAAAUAUAAAAUUUUGGAGAACCAAGGUCGAACUAUAAGUGACACUGAUUUAUUUGAGGUGUAUUCUGUAUUUCUAAAUGUAAAGAUUUCAAAACUGUAUGAUUUAUAGUUAUAGAUUUGCCUCCUCCACUGUGUUAUUGCUGCUUCACUUGUGUCAUUGACAGAUGUUUGAGGAUGGAAGAAUGAAAGAAAUGCAACAGUGAGAAACAAAAUAAACCUGUUUUGAUUUUGAUGGCAAGCCCUAUCAAAUAUUUCUGUGAUUUUUAAGUGCAGCCUUUUACUACAUAGACUCCCGAGGACAUGAUUUACUCAAGAUCUUUCUUUGCAUUUGUAUGAAAUAAAUUUUGCAAGGUUUCUCCUUGCGCUG